This 516-nucleotide ribosomal RNA is filed under the name uncultured bacterium. RNAcentral describes it as "bacterial SSU rRNA". It matches the Rfam family "Bacterial small subunit ribosomal RNA", at positions 8 to 519 of the family's 1533-position model. The record is from RNAcentral.
AGAGUUUGAUCCUGGCUCAGAUUGAACGCUGGCGGCAUGCCUUACACAUGCAAGUCGAACGGCAGCACGGGAGCAAUCCUGGUGGCGAGUGGCGAACGGGUGAGUAAUAUAUCGGAACGUGCCCAGUCGUGGGGGAUAACGUAGAGAAAUUUACGCUAAUACCGCAUACGAUCUAAGGAUGAAAGCGGGGGAUCGCAAGACCUCGCGCGAUUGGAGCGGCUGAUAUCAGAUUAGGUUGUUGGUGAGGUAAAAGCUCACCAAGCCGACGAUCUGUAGCUGGUUUGAGAGAACGACCAGCCACACUGGGACUGAGACACGGCCCAGACUCCUACGGGAGGCAGCAGUGGGGAAUUUUGGACAAUGGGCGAAAGCCUGAUCCAGCAAUGCCGCGUGCAGGAAGAAGGCCUUCGGGUUGUAAACUGCUUUUGUACGGAACGAAACGGUCUGCCCUAAUACGGUGGGCUAAUGACGGUACCGUAAGAAUAAGCACCGGCUAACUACGUGCCAGCAGCCGCG